CUCAAACAAACGAAAUGCGCGGCCCCUGAAUCCCAUUUCAAAUUUCAAACCUCCAUUCCAUUCUCUCUCUUUCUCUCUCUUCCUAUCAGAUCUGGCGACCGUAAAUCUCGGAUCUGGAGCGUGCGAUGAUGAACCACCGGUAAGUCCUAACCGAUGAAGCUCCGGUAAGUCCUUCUUCUCUUACAUGUUUCAUUGGUUGUUAGAUCGGUCCGAGGAAUCCGGUGGCUAGGAUUUCGUUUUAGGUGUCCGUAAGGCGGCAACGUGAGAAGGAGGUCGCUGCUAUGACUCAUGCAGUGGCAGGGGAUGAUGGUGAUUAUCGAUCUAUUCUGUGGAAAGAUGAAGUAACCAGGACCACACGUGUUGAGGAAUUUUGUUUCAUCACAUAUACUACUUACACAAAAUCAGAGAUUUCUUGAGUCUUGCAAGAGAAACCCUUUUUUUAAACGGCGUAGAGAAACCCUAAAACACAAAAUUGGUCGGAUCAUGAAAGAUUUUCGACCUGAAAUCGCUGUUAGGGGCCACAAUCAAACGCACAAGAGGUUGAGAGUUGUUCAGUGGAUGAUCCAGAUCUCCGUUUCACAUAUUUUUGAGUUUUUUUUUCUCAAACACAGUGGUGGUGAUAACCCCCACGAUGGAAGAUGUCGGAGAUGGCGGUUGUGGGUGGAAACCUAGACGGCUGCGGAGGGUGCCGGUAUUUGCUUUCAGCAAUUCUUCUGUGGAGUUUGGGUAGCUUUUUGAAUUAACAGUUUUUAUGUGGAGGCAUUGACUUUUUUGGUAAUUUUAUUCCUGCAGUUAGAAGAACAUCACAUGUGUAAUGUGUAAGUGAAAUGAGCUGAAUCGAACAAUGAGGCGGCAAGUCCUUGAGCUAUCCGCAACGGAUCAGACGUUGUUCUUGUUGACACAGCUGGUCGGAUGUAGGACAACGAACCGUUGAUGCGUGCACUAUCUAAGCUUAUAUACGUCAACAGUCCGGACCUCGUACUUUUUGUCGGUGAGUCGUUGGUUGGUAAUGAUGCUGUUGAUCAACUAUCAAAGUUCAAUCAGGUAUCGAAAACUAGCUGAGCUUUCACCCUCACCGAUCCCGAGGUUGAUUGAUGGAAUUUUGCUAACCAAGUUUGAUACCAUCGAUGAUAAGAUGGUUCCAAGAGGACCUAUGUACCGUGGACCAGCUAGGAACAUAGCAGAUGCAAAUAUGGCGGCGGGUGUCGGCAGCGGAAUGCUUCCCGUACCUUACGGCAUGGCGUGCGUUGGCGGCAUGCUUCCACUCGAUGCCACUGCUUCCAUCCCACAACCAAUGCCUAUUACAGCGUUGGCUUCCGCUCUUGCUAACGCAUCACCAGAUCAACAGAGGACGAACAUGUUCAGACCAUCAGUCUAGCACACUGCAGCCCUGGUUUGCAUGCUUGCAUGCUACAGCUGGGCCAGAAUUGGACCUUAGAACCGGAGACAUUGUUGAAAUCGAAUUGGAAGUGCCUUAGAAUGGGCGUCAAUUGUCCAUACAUAAGGGUAUUGUAAUCUCAAACAAAAGGCUGGUAUAAGCUGGAAGAAGCGGUCAAACUCGCAGCCUUUUCUUAGAUUCUUUCCAGUCGCGAAACACCCGUCGGGCAGCCUGGAAACAAUAAUGGUGUGAGUCUGGAAACAAUAAUGGUGAGGGCUGGGGAAAGUGCUGACCUAAAUUUGUAGUGGGAGGCACUUGUCUUUGCUUACAGGAAUCAGCCUAAAUCAAAUAAGUUCCUUACCUGAGGGCCUUGCUGCAAUGGGCCUUCCACUUGCAAUGGAGCAUACAGUUACACAUUCAUUUUUGUAAGUAAUGGGUCACAUGGGUAAAAAUCGAACAUGUCAAAUGGGUCAGAAGUGACCGUGACCUGAAGUUUAUUUUAAUAAUUAAAACCUCUUAACUUGAUUUAUUAAAAUAACUGAGUGGGGCUAAAGACAACAUGCCUCAAGCUUGAAUCCGAUCCCAACCGGGGUUUUACUGCGUAAUAGGCGUUUUGGCAAAGGGUGGGAUCAGCAGGUUCAAAUGACUAUGGUGAUGGUUUCGAGUGAUCAGCCAACAUUUCAGUCAAAAAAGAAGAAACUUGGGUCAGCGAACGGUCAUCAGGAAGGUAUAAAUGUACACUUGAGCCGUUUAGAUAAUUGAAUAUAAGUAUCAUCAACCUCUGGUCAACGAGGUGAGUUAAGGUUGUACAUUGUUGAAGUCAACCCUGAGCAAGAUUCGUUCUUUGACCAUAUUAGAAACCUAUCGAAAAGGAAAAAGCUUUUAAACUGUACGAUGAUGGGAUUCUAGAGUUUGCUAAUUUCUCUUAUCUAAUCCAUAAGUGUAACUUCUGAUUUGUUUAAUUCAUAGCUAAAUUUUUUAUU
RNA transcript from Helianthus annuus (common sunflower), 2361 nucleotides. It is a transcript of the gene named polyadenylate-binding protein 8, with no coding region annotated. The transcript has 11 exons. The record is from RefSeq and is a predicted model, not a curated record. NCBI's taxonomy places the organism in Eukaryota, Viridiplantae, Streptophyta, Magnoliopsida, Asterales, Asteraceae.